This 222-nucleotide ribosomal RNA is filed under the name uncultured bacterium. Its description in RNAcentral is "partial 16S ribosomal RNA". It matches the Rfam family "Bacterial small subunit ribosomal RNA", at positions 28 to 250 of the family's 1533-position model. The record is from RNAcentral.
GACGAACGCUGGCGGCGUGCUUAACACAUGCAAGUCGAGCGGUAAGGCCCCUUCGGGGGUACGACGAGCGGCGAACGGGUGAGUAACACGUGGGUGACCUGCCCUCAGCUCUGGGAUAAGCCUGGGAAACUGGGUCUAAUACCGGAUAUGACUCCAUGACGCAUGUCGUGGGGUGGAAAGCCUUGUGCGGCUGGGGAUGGGCCCGCGGCCUAUCAGCUUGUU